GACGAACGCUGGCGGCGUGCCUAAUACAUGCAAGUCGAGCGCAGGAAACUGACGGAACUCUUCGGAGGGAAGGCAGUGGAAUGAGCGGCGGACGGGUGAGUAACACGUAAGGAACCUGCCUCAAGGAUUGGGAUAACUCCGAGAAAUCGGAGCUAAUACCGGAUAGUUCAACGGACCGCAUGGUCCGCUGAUGAAAGGCGCUUCGGCGUCACCUUGAGAUGGCCUUGCGGUGCAUUAGCUAGUUGGUGGGGUAACGGCCCACCAAGGCGACGAUGCAUAGCCGACCUGGGAGGGUGAUCGGCCACACUGGGACUGAGACACGGCCCAGACUCCUACGGGAGGCAGCAGUAGGGAAUCUUCCACAAUGGACGAAAGUCUGAUGGAGCAACGCCGCGUGAGUGAUGAAGGUUUUCGGAUCGUAAAACUCUGUUGUAAGGGAAGAACACGCACGAGAGGAAAUGCUCGUACCUUGACGGUACCUUACGAGAAAGCCACGGCUAACUACGUGCCAGCAGCCGCCGUAA
RNAcentral lists this ribosomal RNA (524 nucleotides) under uncultured bacterium. RNAcentral describes it as "partial 16S ribosomal RNA". It matches the Rfam family "Bacterial small subunit ribosomal RNA", at positions 28 to 523 of the family's 1533-position model. The record is from RNAcentral.